Molecule: ribosomal RNA, 454 nt
Filed under: Bacteroides fragilis
Lineage: Bacteria; Pseudomonadati; Bacteroidota; Bacteroidia; Bacteroidales; Bacteroidaceae
Description: partial 23S ribosomal RNA
Rfam family: Bacterial large subunit ribosomal RNA
Source: RNAcentral
CUAGUAGUGGCGAGCGAACGGGGAUUAGCCCAAACCACCCAUGUUACGGCAUGUGUGGGGUUGUAGGACCACGCUCUCGCAAGACAGUUAUUGAGAAGAAACGACUGGAAAGUCGUGCCAUAGACGGUGAUAGCCCGGUAUUCUAAGGUAACCGAAGCGUAGUGGUAUCCUGAGUAGCGCGGAGCACGAGGAAUUCUGCGUGAAUCAGCCGGGACCAUCCGGUAAGGCUAAAUACUCCCGAGAGACCGAUAGCGAACCAGUACUGUGAAGGAAAGGUGAAAAGCACUUCGAAUAGAAGAGUGAAAUAGUCCCUGAAACCAUGCGCCUACAAGCGGUCGGAGCAGCUUAAGCUGUGACGGCGUGCCUUUUGCAUAAUGAACCUACGAGUUACUUUUUCCGGCAAGGUUAAGCAUCUUGAGAUGUGGAUCCGAAGCGAAAGCGAGUCUGAACAGGG